GGUUAAGCGACUAAGCGUACACGGUGGAUGCCCUGGCAGUCAGAGGCGAUGAAGGGCGUGCUAAUCUGCGAUAAGCGCCGGUAAGGUGAUAUGAACCGUUAUAACCGGCGAUACCCGAAUGGGGAAACCCAGUGUGAUUCGUCACACUAUCAUUAACUGAAUCCAUAGGUUAAUGAGGCGAACCGGGGGAACUGAAACAUCUAAGUACCCCGAGGAAAAGAAAUCAACCGAGAUUCCCCCAGUAGCGGCGAGCGAACGGGGAGGAGCCCAGAGCCUGAAUCAGCAUGUGUGUUAGUGGAAGCGUCUGGAAAGGCGCGCGAUACAGGGUGACAGCCCCGUACACAAAAGCGCAUGUGCUGUGAGCUCGAUGAGUAGGGCGGGACACGUGGUAUCCUGUCUGAAUAUGGGGGGACCAUCCUCCAAGGCUAAAUACUCCUGACUGACCGAUAGUGAACCAGUACCGUGAGGGAAAGGCGAAAAGAACCCCGGCGAGGGGAGUGAAAAAGAACCUGAAACCGUGUACGUACAAGCAGUGGGAGCCCCACCACUAAGCCAGUGGUGAACUCCACAUACGCAUCCUUUGCUGAGGAUACGGUUAACGGAGCGAAAGCGACGUUCAACCUCAAAAGAAGCAGAGGGGGCUUAGUGGUGGGGUGACUGCGUACCUUUUGUAUAAUGGGUCAGCGACUUAUAUUCUGUAGCAAGGUUAACCGAAUAGGGGAGCCGGAGGGAAACCGAGUCUUAAUUGGGCGUUAAGUUGCAGGGUAUAGACCCGAAACCCGGUGAUCUAGCCAUGGGCAGGUUGAAGGUUGGGUAACACUAACUGGAGGACCGAACCGACUAAUGUUGAAAAAUUAGCGGAUGACCUGUGGCUGGGGGUGAAAGGCCAAUCAAACCGGGAGAUAGCUGGUUCUCCCCGAAAGCUAUUUAGGUAGCGCCUCGUGAAUUCAUCUCCGGGGGUAGAGCACUGUUUCGGCUAGGGGGCCAUCCCGGCUUACCAACCCGAUGCAAACUGCGAAUACCGGAGAAUGUUAUCACGGGAGACACACGGCGGGUGCUAACGUCCGUCGUGAAGAGGGAAACAACCCAGACCGCCAGCUAAGGUCCCAAAGUCAUGGUUAAGUGGGAAACGAUGUGGGAAGGCCCAGACAGCCAGGAUGUUGGCUUAGAAGCAGCCAUCAUUUAAAGAAAGCGUAAUAGCUCACUGGUCGAGUCGGCCUGCGCGGAAGAUGUAACGGGGCUAAACCAUGCACCGAAGCUGCGGCAGCGACACUGUGUGUUGUUGGGUAGGGGAGCGUUCUGUAAGCCUGUGAAGGUGGCCUGUGAGGGUUGCUGGAGGUAUCAGAAGUGCGAAUGCUGACAUAAGUAACGAUAAAGCGGGUGAAAAGCCCGCUCGCCGGAAGACCAAGGGUUCCUGUCCAACGUUAAUCGGGGCAGGGUGAGUCGACCCCUAAGGCGAGGCCGAAAGGCGUAGUCGAUGGGAAACGGGUUAAUAUUCCCGUACUUGGUGUUACUGCGAAGGGGGGACGGAGAAGGCUAUGUUGGCCGGGCGACGGUUGUCCCGGUUUAAGCGUGUAGGCUGGUUUUCCAGGCAAAUCCGGAAAAUCAAGGCUGAGGCGUGAUGACGAGGCACUACGGUGCUGAAGCAACAAAUGCCCUGCUUCCAGGAAAAGCCUCUAAGCAUCAGGUAACAUCAAAUCGUACCCCAAACCGACACAGGUGGUCAGGUAGAGAAUACCAAGGCGCUUGAGAGAACUCGGGUGAAGGAACUAGGCAAAAUGGUGCCGUAACUUCGGGAGAAGGCACGCUGACACGUAGGUGAAGUGAUUUACUCAUGGAGCUGAAGUCAGUCGAAGAUACCAGCUGGCUGCAACUGUUUAUUAAAAACACAGCACUGUGCAAACACGAAAGUGGACGUAUACGGUGUGACGCCUGCCCGGUGCCGGAAGGUUAAUUGAUGGGGUCAGCGCAAGCGAAGCUCCUGAUCGAAGCCCCGGUAAACGGCGGCCGUAACUAUAACGGUCCUAAGGUAGCGAAAUUCCUUGUCGGGUAAGUUCCGACCUGCACGAAUGGCGUAAUGAUGGCCAGGCUGUCUCCACCCGAGACUCAGUGAAAUUGAACUCGCUGUGAAGAUGCAGUGUACCCGCGGCAAGACGGAAAGACCCCGUGAACCUUUACUAUAGCUUGACACUGAACAUUGAGCCUUGAUGUGUAGGAUAGGUGGGAGGCUUUGAAGUGUGGACGCCAGUCUGCAUGGAGCCGACCUUGAAAUACCACCCUUUAAUGUUUGAUGUUCUAACGUGGACCCGUAAUCCGGGUUGCGGACAGUGUCUGGUGGGUAGUUUGACUGGGGCGGUCUCCUCCUAAAGAGUAACGGAGGAGCACGAAGGUUGGCUAAUCCUGGUCGGACAUCAGGAGGUUAGUGCAAUGGCAUAAGCCAGCUUGACUGCGAGCGUGACGGCGCGAGCAGGUGCGAAAGCAGGUCAUAGUGAUCCGGUGGUUCUGAAUGGAAGGGCCAUCGCUCAACGGAUAAAAGGUACUCCGGGGAUAACAGGCUGAUACCGCCCAAGAGUUCAUAUCGACGGCGGUGUUUGGCACCUCGAUGUCGGCUCAUCACAUCCUGGGGCUGAAGUAGGUCCCAAGGGUAUGGCUGUUCGCCAUUUAAAGUGGUACGCGAGCUGGGUUUAGAACGUCGUGAGACAGUUCGGUCCCUAUCUGCCGUGGGCGCUGGAGAACUGAGGGGGGCUGCUCCUAGUACGAGAGGACCGGAGUGGACGCAUCACUGGUGUUCGGGUUGUCAUGCCAAUGGCACUGCCCGGUAGCUAAAUGCGGAAGAGAUAAGUGCUGAAAGCAUCUAAGCACGAAACUUGCCCCGAGAUGAGUUCUCCCUGAGACUUAGAGUCUCCUGAAGGAACGUUGAAGACGACGACGUUGAUAGGCCGGGUGUGUAAGCGCAGCGAUGCGUUGAGCUAACCGGUACUAAUGAACCGUGAGGCUUAACCUU
Molecule: ribosomal RNA, 3004 nt
Filed under: Salmonella enterica subsp. enterica serovar Westhampton
Lineage: Bacteria; Pseudomonadati; Pseudomonadota; Gammaproteobacteria; Enterobacterales; Enterobacteriaceae
Description: 23S ribosomal RNA
Rfam family: Bacterial large subunit ribosomal RNA
Source: RNAcentral